Pantherophis guttatus is the source of this 1465-nucleotide non-coding RNA. The record is from RefSeq and is a predicted model, not a curated record. Lineage: Eukaryota; Metazoa; Chordata; Lepidosauria; Squamata; Colubridae.
CUGGGCUGUUGACAAUCUGCUAGGCAGAAACUUACUAGCUCCCGGUCAAGUGGGAAAUGCGGGUAGUUUCUAGUUUCCAGACAUAGUAAUAGGAAACCACAUGGCGGAAAGUCCUCCCUUAGCCCUGAGUUGCAGGCUAGUUAGCAGGCAAUACUUAAAGGACGAAACGACCGCUUGCAUUUCCUAGUGGAGACGUUAGUUUAAAAAUGAAAGGAGGUGGAGGAGGAAAUUGCACCUAAUCUCCCCAAAGAGUUUGUUUGACAGGACGGUAGAUGGGACGGUAAUAUACAUUCAAUAAAAGAGCCGCUUCCCAUAAACUUCCAUUCUUCUCCGUUUAAAGCAAGGGCGGGGGGUAGGAAUCGGAUAUCGCUGGGCUGCUCCCAAGCCCCUAGUGUUAAAUCGAGACCGACUCGGCCAACCUCUCGGCUAAUCUCCCAUACGCUAAUAGAGAGAAUGUCUUUGAAUGAAUGAGUCCGACUAUGCCCUUAAGGCAAUCGGCGUUGCCUACCUCUGAGAGGAGAACUAGUAAGGAGUCAGGCACAUUACGUCAGACUGAGCUUUUUCUAAAGAGAAAAGUGUGGAAAUAAAGCUUGAGGCUUUGGUUCCUGAUGAGCGAUCCUGGGUUAGAAAGGAUGGAGGAGUGUGCUUGAGAAAGACAGCCCACCCCUGUCCUUCCCUUUCCCGCGGAUUGUGUCGAACUGCCUUGUGUUUUAGUUGGACGGGAUGCAGUCUGUUGUUCAGAAAGGGGAUGAGAAACCCACACAUUACCAGCAAGGCAGAGUUUCAGAGUAAUCCUUAGGGACCUGAUUGUUAAUGAGGUGGCAUUUACCCCUGACGAGAAUAGCCAGAAUGUUCCAGAAUAAAUCAGAGAAGUGUUGGAAGUGUCAUCAGACUCCAGGAUCCUAUUACCACAUGUGGUGGACAUGCGUAGAAGCAAGGAGAUAUUGGACUAAGAUACACACGUGGUUGGAAAAAAUGACUAAGAGACAUAUUGAUUUUAAACCAGAGAUAUUUUUAUUAGGGAUCUUACCAGAGACACAUAAUAAAGAAUUGCAAUAUUUAAUUGUGAACCUUUUAACAGCAGCUAGAAUUGUAUUUGCAAAAAAUUGGAAUGGAGAAAGGACACCUACUGAUGAAGAAAUUAUUAAGAAAAUGAUGGACUGUGCUGAAAUGAGUAAAUUGACAUUUGAAAUAAGAGAGCAGGAAGAUAACAAUAUUAUUUGAUAUGGGAUUUAUUUUAUCAAUGGAUGGACAAUAAGACAUGGAGAUAAAUAUAUAAUAUGUGGAUGUUGAGAUAAAUUAAGUAGAAUAUUUCUUAUGAAAAUAAGCUUUGGAUGUAUAGUGAUAUUUUGAAGAGAAGAGGGAGCACAAAAGGAUGUUAACCGAUCGAUACACUGUCUGUAAUUAUUUGGGAAUGAUGUUGUUUUUGUGUUUUAUUUUUGUUUUAAAAUAAAAUCUUUGUGAA